Molecule: long non-coding RNA, 370 nt
Filed under: Phoenix dactylifera (date palm)
Lineage: Eukaryota; Viridiplantae; Streptophyta; Magnoliopsida; Arecales; Arecaceae
Description: long non-coding RNA (PDAC_LNC004739)
Source: RNAcentral
AGAGGGGCGGGGCGGGGUUAAAAGAUUACAAAGCAUCAGCCUCCUUUUGGUCCUUUUGGGUUAUAAUAAUAGCGAGCAACUCAUUUAAGUUACCAGCCGCAAAGCACGCCUUUGGUAACCAAUCGCUGUCCCAAAAAAAGCUGACGUCCAACCGUGCUUUGCAGGAAAUGUACUGAUGUUUCAUUUAAAAAAGUCCAAGGGCUUUUCUGCACCUAUGGACAAGCCAGUUGGGUCCCUCCAACUAAAUUUGUUUGCUCGUACAUCGUAAACGGGCCCAUCGUUAUCAUCUUUGGAACUUCGCUUAUAUUUGUGAGGUGGAGGAAGAGCUGGACAGAGGAACCAAUCCUCCGAUCACCACCAACCCCUGAUC